This 75-nucleotide transfer RNA is filed under the name Parcubacteria group bacterium CG10_big_fil_rev_8_21_14_0_10_36_14. RNAcentral's name for it is "tRNA-Gln". It matches the Rfam family "tRNA". Rfam says of the family: Transfer RNA (tRNA) molecules are approximately 80 nucleotides in length. Their secondary structure includes four short double-helical elements and three loops (D, anti-codon, and T loops). The record is from RNAcentral.
AGGCGUAUAGUUCAAUGGAAGAAUGUCGGGCUUUGGACCCGAAUGUUGAAGGUUCGAAUCCUUCUACGCCUAUCA